GCCCGGGUGGUGGAAUGGUAGACACAGGGGCCUUAAAAGCCCCAGCCGGUAAUCGGCGUGCGGGUUCGAGCCCCGCCCCGGGCA
Molecule: transfer RNA, 84 nt
Filed under: Alphaproteobacteria bacterium
Lineage: Bacteria; Pseudomonadati; Pseudomonadota; Alphaproteobacteria
Description: tRNA-Leu
Rfam family: tRNA
About the family: Transfer RNA (tRNA) molecules are approximately 80 nucleotides in length. Their secondary structure includes four short double-helical elements and three loops (D, anti-codon, and T loops). Further hydrogen bonds mediate the characteristic L-shaped molecular structure. tRNAs have two regions of fundamental functional importance: the anti-codon, which is responsible for specific mRNA codon recognition, and the 3' end, to which the tRNAs corresponding amino acid is attached (by aminoacyl-tRNA synthetases). tRNAs cope with the degeneracy of the genetic code in two manners: having more than one tRNA (with a specific anti-codon) for a particular amino acid; and 'wobble' base-pairing, i.e. permitting non-standard base-pairing at the 3rd anti-codon position.
Source: RNAcentral